AGCAGCCGCGGUAAUUCCAGCUCCAAUAGCGUAUAUUAAAGUUGUUGCAGUUAAAAAGCUCGUAGUUGAAUUUCGGGGUUAGUAGGUUGGUCGUGCCACUGGUAUGUACUGGUUCUACUGAUCCCUCCUUCUUGUAGAACCGUAAUGCCAUUCACUUGGUGUUGCGGGGAAACAGGACUGUUACUUUGAAAAAAUUAGAGUGUUUAAAGCAGGCUAACGCUUGAAUACAUUAGCAUGGAAUAAUGAAAUAGGACGUUCGAUCCUAUUUUGUUGGUUUCUAGGAUUGACGUAAUGAUUAAUAGGGAUAGUUGGGGGCAUUAGUAUUCAAUUGUCAGAGGUGAAAUUCUUGGAUUUAUUGAAGACUAACUACUGCGAAAGCAUUUGCCAAGGAUGUUUUCAUUAAUCAAGAACGAAAGUUAGGGGAUCGAAGACGAAUCAGAUACCGUCGUAGUCUUAACCAUAAACUAUGCCGACUAGGGAUCGGAUGAUGUUAAUUUUUAAUGUACUCAUUCGGCGCCUU
Molecule: ribosomal RNA, 520 nt
Filed under: uncultured Glomeromycotina
Lineage: Eukaryota; Fungi; Glomeromycota
Description: SSU rRNA
Rfam family: Eukaryotic small subunit ribosomal RNA
Source: RNAcentral